Small nuclear RNA from Echinops telfairi (small Madagascar hedgehog), 105 nucleotides. The record is from Ensembl. NCBI's taxonomy places the organism in Eukaryota, Metazoa, Chordata, Mammalia, Afrosoricida, Tenrecidae.
GUGCUCACUUUGGCAGAACAUACACUAAAAUUGGAACGACACAGAAGAUUCGCGUGGCCCUUGCACAAAGAUGACACCCAAAUGGGUGAAGUGUUCCAUACAUUU